GGUGUGCACUACUAUGAUUUAUUUAUUUUUUAAAUGUUUGAAUUUGAAUUGCUACUAUCUUUAUGAUGGGGUUAUAACUGGGUUUAUUGUGGCAAUGUUUUCACUCUGGUAUUAUAGGUAUACAAUAGUUUCUUUUCGUAUUUAUUUAAUUUCUGUACUCUAGCCUUUUGUUGCCAUAACUAGCAAAUCUUCAUGUUACCCAAUAUUUGUAUAGUCAGUCAUCUAGCCAUCCUGCUGGGUUUUUUUUUUUAUUGGCUAUUUGGGACUCACCUUCUCCCUGAUGCACAGCAUUGCCAACAUUGUCUAUUGUAUGAGGACGGAGAAUAUAGAGUCUGUUAUGUGCAAUGGUCAGUGGAUUAUGAAGGAUCAUAAAAUCAUGAAUCUCAAUGAGGAGGAGGUAAUUUCUUCAGCUGUGAAAAGAGCGAACGACCUCCUUGCGCGAGCUGGCAUCAAUCUCCCCAAACGGAUGAACUACAUGUAGUUUUUGCUUUGCCAAGUUCGUCAUGCAUUGCCACCACACGUCCACACCCAUUGCGGUGUUGCAGAUGAUGCACGUUGCCCAAAGGAGUGAAGGCAUGUUUACAGGACUGUUGGCGUGAUUUCAUUUUCUGUCAGUCCUGAAUUGAAAAUAAUGUGCAGUAGCAUGUAUAGUUUCUGGAAUCGGAAUAAAAGCAUCAUGAAAGUCCCGACUUAUAUCAA
Long non-coding RNA from Panicum virgatum (switchgrass), 699 nucleotides. RefSeq lists it as uncharacterized. The record is from RefSeq and is a predicted model, not a curated record. NCBI's taxonomy places the organism in Eukaryota, Viridiplantae, Streptophyta, Magnoliopsida, Poales, Poaceae. The transcript has 2 exons.